Arachis ipaensis is the source of this 184-nucleotide non-coding RNA. Lineage: Eukaryota; Viridiplantae; Streptophyta; Magnoliopsida; Fabales; Fabaceae. The record is from RefSeq and is a predicted model, not a curated record.
AAUUCCAAACACUUCUAGUCCUAGAGACAAGUUUGGGAAGGCAAAAGUGGAAUGAAGCAUGAACAAAGGGAGAAAACAAGAAGAAAACAAAGGAGAAGCACACAAUGGAGUGUGCAUGCGCACAACCACCUGUGCGCACGCACGAGAGCCACACAGCCAUGUGUGCAUACGCACAACCUCCUGU